RNAcentral lists this long non-coding RNA (1068 nucleotides) under Homo sapiens (human). Its description in RNAcentral is "long intergenic non-protein coding RNA 1913". The record is from RNAcentral. Lineage: Eukaryota; Metazoa; Chordata; Mammalia; Primates; Hominidae.
AGUACACGGAUCUGGAAUGGAAGCAAAUAAUAACCGGGUCUCCAGAUUCCAUCGUAUCACAGAACAUAGAACCAAGAAAGUACCUUAGAAGUCAUCUGAUCCAGUCACCCCUGUUUUACCAAUGAGGAAUCUAGACCCAGAAGAAGUUAAAGGACUUACCCAAGAGUACCCAACAACUCUCUCACCACCCCAGGCUCCCAUCUUUGUGUCUCUCCUGUGUGAGCUGUUCCCUGAAGUUCUUCCUGAACUUGCACAUUGCCUUUCCCUUUGAUUUUAAAUCCUUGGCUCAAAUGACAUGCCCGGACUAUAUCGUGUGAUAUGAGCUUGAAAAGUAAUUUACGUACAAGUCUUGAAAGCAAAUCAAGUUUUAAAACAAAGUAGCAUCUACUCUGCCCCAGCCUUGACAUCUUAUUACAUAGCAAAUGCUGGCUUUUUAAUUUCCCUAAUCAAGACUGGUCCUAUUUAGCCCACCUCCUCAAGGGGUCCCAGCACUAGCCCCACUCCGACGCCUGAUGAAGUUCCAGAACAGGUGAGAAAAAUGAGAGGGCCCUGCCCAGGGCUCUGGGAGUCGGCCCUCACUGCCUGCCCUUCAGACAGCAAGACAGAAAAGGCAUUCAUUUUCUUCCUCCACGUCAUGAUACCAACCGAAAUUACCUUUAAAUGAGGAAGAAGGUCAUUAUUUAAUCAAUAGGAUUGCGUCAAUUGAGGAAAAUUUGUCUCCAGUGUAAACAAGCGGAACGUCUUUGCGCUCUAUAAAAACAAGUGGAAUCAAGCACAGAGAUGGGCACGCCUCUUUACAGAACCAAAGAUUCAGAACUGUGCCUUACCCUUUGCUUAUGAGGCGGAGGAGGAGGAAGAGAAAGAACCACCGCAAAGAGAGAUGGCAACAAAGGUAAAAUGAAGGCCGGGCAGCCGAUCCCACUCAGGCUGACCACAGUGAGGGAGCAGCAUUAAAAUGAGAAAGGAUCAGGUCUCGAAGCCCAGCCCUUCCCGCUGAAUCUCGUCCUUUGCUUCAUCCAUUCCAUUAAAUAAGUCAUAUUGAAAAUAAAUUAUUAUUAAUACAACAGU